RNAcentral lists this transfer RNA (80 nucleotides) under Neotoma lepida (desert woodrat). It matches the Rfam family "tRNA". From Rfam's summary of the family: Transfer RNA (tRNA) molecules are approximately 80 nucleotides in length. Their secondary structure includes four short double-helical elements and three loops (D, anti-codon, and T loops). Further hydrogen bonds mediate the characteristic L-shaped molecular structure. tRNAs have two regions of fundamental functional importance: the anti-codon, which is responsible for specific mRNA codon recognition, and the 3' end, to which the tRNAs corresponding amino acid is attached (by aminoacyl-tRNA synthetases). tRNAs cope with the degeneracy of the genetic code in two manners: having more than one tRNA (with a specific anti-codon) for a particular amino acid; and 'wobble' base-pairing, i.e. permitting non-standard base-pairing at the 3rd anti-codon position. The record is from Rfam by way of RNAcentral. Lineage: Eukaryota; Metazoa; Chordata; Mammalia; Rodentia; Cricetidae.
GGGGGCGUGGCUCAGUGGUAGAGCACUUGCCUAACAUCCUAACAGGUGCAAGGCCCUGGGUUACAUUCCCAGNACCACCA